Molecule: ribosomal RNA, 497 nt
Filed under: uncultured bacterium
Lineage: Bacteria
Description: partial 16S ribosomal RNA
Rfam family: Bacterial small subunit ribosomal RNA
Source: RNAcentral
GAUGAACGCUGGCGGCGUGCCUAAUACAUGCAAGUCGAGCGAACAGACGAGGAGCUUGCUCCUCUGACGUUAGCGGCGGACGGGUGAGUAACACGUGGAUAACCUACCUAUAAGACUGGGAUAACUUCGGGAAACCGGAGCUAAUACCGGAUAAUAUAUUGAACCGCAUGGUUCAAUAGUGAAAGACGGUUUUGCUGUCACUUAUAGAUGGAUCCGCGCCGCAUUAGCUAGUUGGUAAGGUAACGGCUUACCAAGGCAACGAUGCGUAGCCGACCUGAGAGGGUGAUCGGCCACACUGGAACUGGGACACGGUCCAGACUCCAACGGGAGGCAGCAGUAGGGAAUCUUCCGCAAUGGGCGAAAGCUUGACGGAGCAACGCCGCGUGAGUGAUGAAGGUCUUCGGAUCGUAAAACUCUGUUAUUAGGGAAGAACAAAUGUGUAAGUAACUAUGCACGUCUUGACGGUACCUAAUCAGAAAGCCACGGCUAACUACGUG